This 418-nucleotide ribosomal RNA is filed under the name uncultured bacterium. Its description in RNAcentral is "bacterial SSU rRNA". It matches the Rfam family "Bacterial small subunit ribosomal RNA", at positions 28 to 493 of the family's 1533-position model. The record is from RNAcentral.
GAUGAACGCUGGCGGUAUGCUUUACACAUGCAAGUCGUACGAGAGUUUUAACUCAAGUGGCGGACGGGUGAGUAACACGUAAGAAUUUACCUUUAGGAGGGGAUAACAACUGGAAACGGUUGCUAAUACCCCAUAUGCUUUCGAGUGAAAUGGUUUUACCGCCUAAAGAGAAGCUUGCGGCUGAUUAGCUUGUUGGUGAGGUAAUGGCUCACCAAGGCGACGAUCAGUAUCUGGUUUGAGAGGACGAUCAGACACACUGGAACUGAGACACGGUCCAGACUCCUACGGAGGCAGCAGUGGGGAAUUUCGCAAUGGCGAAAGCCUGACGGAGCAAUACCGCGUGAGGGAUGACGGCCUAUGGGUUGUAAACCUCUUUUUUCAGGGAGGAAUCAAUGACGUGUACCUGAAGAAUAAGCAU